AGCGAACGCUGGCGGCAGGCCUAACACAUGCAAGUCGAACGGACCCUUCGGGGUUAGUGGCGGACGGGUGAGUAACACGUGGGAACGUGCCUUUAGGUUCGGAAUAGCUCCUGGAAACGGGUGGUAAUGCCGAAUGUGCCCUUCGGGGGAAAGAUUUAUCGCCUUUAGAGCGGCCCGCGUCUGAUUAGCUAGUUGGUGAGGUAAUGGCUCACCAAGGCGACGAUCGGUAGCUGGUCUGAGAGGAUGACCAGCCACUCUGGGACUGAGACACGGCCCAGACUCCUACGGGAGGCAGCAGUGGGGAAUCUUGCGCAAUGGGCGAAAGCCUGACGCAGCCAUGCCGCGUGAAUGAUGAAGGCCUUAGGAUUGUAAAAUUCUUUCACCGGGGACGAUAAUGACGGUACCCGGAGAAGAAGCCCCGGCUAACUUCGUGCCAGCCGCCGCGGUAA
This 449-nucleotide ribosomal RNA is filed under the name uncultured bacterium. RNAcentral's name for it is "partial 16S ribosomal RNA". It matches the Rfam family "Bacterial small subunit ribosomal RNA", at positions 29 to 523 of the family's 1533-position model. The record is from RNAcentral.